Molecule: ribosomal RNA, 601 nt
Filed under: Thermoplasmata archaeon enrichment culture clone SA2-105
Lineage: Archaea; Methanobacteriati; Thermoplasmatota; Thermoplasmata
Description: bacterial SSU rRNA
Rfam family: Archaeal small subunit ribosomal RNA
Source: RNAcentral
GGAUAACAUGCCCUUAGGUGGAGGAUAAGCUCGGGAAACUGAGGAUAAUACUCCAUAGAUCAUGGGAGCUGGAAUGCCCCAUGGUCCAAAGUUCCGGCGCCUAAGGAUUGGUCUGCGGCCUAUCAGGUCGUAGUGGGUGUAACGGACCCACUAGCCUAUGACGGGUAUGGGCCUUGAGAGAGGGAGCCCAGAGAUGGACUCUGAGACACGAGUCCAGGCCCUACGGGGCGCAGCAGUCGCGAAAACUUCACACUGGGGGCAACCCCGAUGAGGGAAUUCCUAGUGCAUGCAUUUAAUGUAUGCUUUUCUUUAGUUUAGAAAGCUAAAGGAAUAAGGGCUGGGUAAGACGGGUGCCAGCCGCCGCGGUAAUACCCGCAGCCCAAGUGGUGGUCGAUAUUAUUGAGUCUAAAACGUUCGUAGCCUGUUCAAUAAAUCCUUGGGUAAAUCGGUGAGCUCAACUUACCGAAUUCCGAGGCGACUGUUGAACUUGGGACCGGGAGAGGUGAGAGGUACCUUGGGGGUAGGGGUGAAAUCUUGUGAUCCUCGAGGGACCACCAGUGGCGAAGGCGUCUCACCAGAACGGGUCCGACGGUAAGGGACG